This 69-nucleotide transfer RNA is filed under the name Cordylochernes scorpioides. Its description in RNAcentral is "tRNA-Gly". Lineage: Eukaryota; Metazoa; Arthropoda; Arachnida; Pseudoscorpiones; Chernetidae. The record is from RNAcentral.
GCUUUUGGUUCAGUGGUAGAAUGCUCGCCUACCACGCGGGCGCACAGGGUUCAAUUCCCGGCCGAUGCA